This 442-nucleotide ribosomal RNA is filed under the name uncultured bacterium. Its description in RNAcentral is "partial 16S ribosomal RNA". It matches the Rfam family "Bacterial small subunit ribosomal RNA", at positions 338 to 795 of the family's 1533-position model. The record is from RNAcentral.
CCUACGGGUGGCAGCAGUCGAGAAUCAUUCACAAUGGGGGAAACCCUGAUGGUGCGACGCCGCGUGCAGGAUGAAGGCCCUCGGGUUGUAAACUGCUUUUAUAAGCGAGAAAUAUGAUGGUAAUUUAUGAAUAAGGAUCGGCUAACUACGUGCCAGCAGCCGCGGUCAUACGUAGGAUCCGAGCAUUAUCCGGAGUGACUGGGUGUAAAGAGUUGCGUAGGUGGGAUAAUAAGUAGCUAGGGAAAUCUGGUGGCUCAACCAUUCAGACUAUUAGCUAAACUGUUAAGCUCGAGACCGUUAGGGGGAAGUGGAAUGUGUGGUGUAGGAGUGAAAUGCGUAGAUAUUAGAAGGAACACCAAUAGCGAAGGCAGGUUACUGGGACGGUUCUGACGCUGAGGCACGAAAGCGUAGGGAGCAAACGGGAUUAGAUACCCCAGUAGUC